RNAcentral lists this unclassified non-coding RNA (200 nucleotides) under Veronaea sp. RNAcentral's name for it is "partial internal transcribed spacer 2". Lineage: Eukaryota; Fungi; Ascomycota; Eurotiomycetes; Chaetothyriales; Herpotrichiellaceae. The record is from RNAcentral.
UUAAGUUCAGCGGGUAUUCCUACCUGAUCCGAGGUCAACCUUGUUAAAAAUUCUCCCUGAGGGGAGGCAGACCGUGCCCCGCGAGCCCUUAUCCAGUACGUGCUCGGUGAAGAACUCAGUGUACCGGGGGUCCAACGAGGCCGCCGUCAUUGUCUUUGGGAGGGGUGAGACAUAGGCCCCACGACCGUCCAACACCAAGC